This 658-nucleotide ribosomal RNA is filed under the name uncultured fungus. RNAcentral's name for it is "eukaryotic LSU rRNA". The stretch from base 234 to 387 matches the Rfam family "5.8S ribosomal RNA". The record is from RNAcentral. Lineage: Eukaryota; Fungi.
UCCGUAGGUGAACCUGCGGAAGGAUCAUUAAUGAAACUUCAAAGUCGGCCUCGUUCUGUGCUGGUGGUAAUUCACAUGUGCACGUUCGCGGUCGCAAAUCCACACACCCGUGCACCUUAUGACUCUGAGCGCCGCUUUGCAUGGCCGACCGAGAGGGAGACCUGGCGCUCGAGUAACUUUUACACACUCUGAAUGUAAUGGAAUGUCUUUGUGCACUAUGUACAACCAAAAACAACUUUCAACAACGGAUCUCUUGGCUCUCGCAUCGAUGAAGAACGCAGCGAAAUGCGAUAAGUAAUGUGAAUUGCAGAAUUCAGUGAAUCAUCGAAUCUUUGAACGCACCUUGCGCCCUUUGGUAUUCCGAAGGGCACGCUCGUUUGAGUGUCAUUGUAAUCUCACUACAUCGACUUUUGCCGUUGUAUGUGGACUUGGAUGUUGCCGUGUUGCAACGGCUCGUCUGAAAAUGCCUGAGUGUACCCUGUUUUGCAGCGUAUUCGUGUAAUAAAUCUUCACCGGGGAGGUUGGACUCCUCGGAGGUCACGGUUGGGCUCUACAUGGGCUCUAUGGCUUCCAACCGGUCGGUGGGUCCGGACAAUCUUUGGACAAUUUGACCUCAAAUCGGGCGGGACUACCCGCUGAACUUAAGCAUAUCAAUAAG